UGUUGUUGCUUUUUGGGAGUAAAAAACAGUUACCAACGUUUGUUUUCAUAACAACAUUAUUUACGUUGUGUCUUAUUUCUGUGUUUUGUUUGAUUUACGUGAAGAACAAUGCAUGCUCGUUUCGACGAUCAUAUACGUUCCAGUUCCAGUAAACAGAUAUACUUCUUAGAAUUGAGUUGGUUGAGAGUGAGGAUAUUUCCUGUGCGGAUGGCUCGAUUAUCGACGAUUCUGAUGAAGAUCCAUUGUGGGAACCUGUAGAAUCUAAUCAAUCCUCAUCGUCAACAUCUGAAUCCAACCCAGGACUUCCUAGAACGAAUAACGCACUGGAAGCGUUCUAUAGCCUACUACUACGAAGAGUGAGACCUUACCCAAGUGCGUGGUAGUUCAAUGUCUAUCCUGGAGGAAGAGGAGGACCCUGAGAACCUAUCUUAUGGAGCUCCUGCACAACCAUGCACUAAGGGCUCCACACGUCAGUCAGACGACGGAGACUGGCCUUACGACGUCAGAAUGCAGUCAUUCAUGAGGAUUCAGCAGAACUGACAUGUUGACAUGUGGAGCCUACAAUGUUGCUCAGUACCUUGACAAGCUCUCCGACCGCACAAGAGGUCUGGUGGAAAGGCAGAGUUGAGGAGCAAUGAAGGUGGCUAUUGGUUCCAGCACAACCAGUUACUCAGGGUCCAGCAGCCAACCAAGUACUACCUCUGGUACGAGUGCCUGUAGCUGCACAUGAGCCACCAACGCCUGCACCUGCUCCACCCGCUCUAAUUUUUCGUAAAUCAAUACCGAUACUGAAAGUAGGUAUGAAUGAGAGCUCACGUACUAAUAUCUACAUGAAAUUCAUAGACACCAAAUUGUAGAGGCAAACGUUUUAAAGAUAUGGGAUUUGGCAGUUGGCCAGUAAUUAACUUAGGUAGAUACCGAAUAAAAUGAAUACGUCAUCGCAUGAAUUUCAAAGAGAUAUUACUUCACGAGUAACCUAUAAUUAUCUUGAAUUUCUCAUAAUUAUUUUGUCUUGUUUUCUUUACGAUGUUAUAAUUAUAAAUCGCCUUCGGCUCGCUGGAGGCUACGCCCCCAGGCCCCUAAUUAGGAGGUUGACUAAAUGCGGGGAUAAGCGGAAUUUGGAGACAGGUUAUGUCCGAGCAUUAGAUUAGGGAUCUAAAAAGUGACUGGACCUUUUAUUGUCGGAAAUUUAAUUUAAUCUUUUAAUUCUGACCUCGGAUUUUUGCUUCCGAGUUUCAGUUUAGCCAAUACACAGUACGGAAGAAAAUUUUGCACUGGUCAGCUAUUGUGAAUUGUUUAGUGUAAAGAUAAUAAAAUCCGAUUCUAAGUUAGAAUUCUAAAAUGUUAAGGGAGUAUAAUUUGCUCAGGAGUUUAACUAUUCA
Molecule: long non-coding RNA, 1382 nt
Organism: Homalodisca vitripennis (glassy-winged sharpshooter)
Lineage: Eukaryota; Metazoa; Arthropoda; Insecta; Hemiptera; Cicadellidae
Exons: 5
Source: RefSeq, a predicted model, not a curated record